CCUACGGGUGGCAGCAGUGGGGAAUAUUGCACAAUGGGGGAAACCCUGAUGCAGCGACGCCGCGUGGGUGACGAAGUAUUUCGGUAUGUAAAGCCCUAUCAGCAGGGAAGAAGAUGACAGUACCUGACCAAGAAGCCCCGGCUAACUACGUGCCAGCAGCCGCGGUAAUACGUAGGGGGCAAGCGUUAUCCGGAUUUACUGGGUGUAAAGGGAGCGUAGGUGGCAUGGCAAGCCAGAAGUGAAAACCCGGGGCUUAACCCCGCGGAUUGCUUUUGGAACUGUCAGGCUGGAGUGCAGGAGGGGCAGGCGGAAUUCCUGGUGUAGCGGUGAAAUGCGUAGAUAUCAGGAGGAACACUGGUGGCGAAGGCGGCCUGCUGGACUGUAACUGACACUGAGGCUCGAAAGCGUGGGGAGCAAACAGGAUUAGAUACCCCUGUAGUC
This 441-nucleotide ribosomal RNA is filed under the name uncultured bacterium. RNAcentral's name for it is "partial 16S ribosomal RNA". It matches the Rfam family "Bacterial small subunit ribosomal RNA", at positions 338 to 795 of the family's 1533-position model. The record is from RNAcentral.